RNAcentral lists this ribosomal RNA (469 nucleotides) under uncultured bacterium. RNAcentral's name for it is "partial 16S ribosomal RNA". It matches the Rfam family "Bacterial small subunit ribosomal RNA", at positions 28 to 507 of the family's 1533-position model. The record is from RNAcentral.
GACGAACGCUGGCGGCGUGCUUAACACAUGCAAGUCGAACGGAAAGGCCCUGCUUGCAGGGUGCUCGAGUGGCGAACGGGUGAGUAACACGUGGGUGAUCUGCCCCUUACUUUGGGAUAAGCCUGGGAAACUGGGUCUAAUACUGGAUAGGACCAUGCUGUAGGUGGUGUGGUGGAAAGAUUAGUUUCGGUAAGGGAUGAGCUCGCGGCCUAUCAGCUUGUUGGUGGGGUAAUGGCCUACCAAGGCGUCGACGGGUAGCCGGCCUGAGAGGGUGGACGGCCACAUUGGGACUGAGAUACGGCCCAGACUCCUACGGGGGGCAGCAGUGGGGAGUAUUGCACAAUGAGCGCAAGCCUGAUGCAGCGACGCCGCGUGGGGGAUGACGGCCUUCGGGUUGUAAACUCCUUUCAGCCAUGACGAAGCCCUUGUGGUGACGGUAGUGGUAGAAGAAGCACCGGCUAACUACGUG